GCGGAGGAAAAGAAACCAACAGGGAUUGCCCUAGUAACGGCGAGUGAAGCGGCAACAGCUCAAAUUUGAAAUCUGGCGCAAGCCCGAGUUGUAAUUUGUAGAGGAUGCUUCUAGGUAGCGACCGGUCUAAGUUCCUUGGAACAGGACGUCAUAGAGGGUGAGAAUCCCGUAUGUGACCGGCCCGCACCUUCUACGUAGCUCCUUCGACGAGUCGAGUUGUUUGGGAAUGCAGCUCUAAAUGGGAGGUAAAUUUCUUCUAAAGCUAAAUACCGGCCAGAGACCGAUAGCGCACAAGUAGAGUGAUCGAAAGAUGAAAAGCACUUUGGAAAGAGAGUUAAAAAGCACGUGAAAUUGUUGAAAGGGAAGCGCUCACAACCAGACUUCUGGGCGGUGUUCCGCCGGUCUUCUGACCGGUCUACUCGCCGUCCCGAGGCCAACAUCAUCUGGGACCGCUGGAUAAGACCUCAGGAAUGUAGCUUCCCUCGGGAAGUGUUAUAGCCUGUGGUGAUGCAGCGCGUCUCGGGUGAGGUCCGCGCUUCGGCAAGGAUGUUGGCGUAAUGGUUGUCAGCGGCCCGUCUUGAAACACGGACCAAGGAGUCUAACAUCUAUGCGAGUGUUCGGGUGUCAAACCCCUACGCGUAAUGAAAGUGAACGGAGGUGGGAAGCGUAAGCUGCACCAUCGACCGAUCCUGAUGUCCUCGGAUGGAUUUGAGUAAGAGCAUAGCUGUUGGGACCCGAAAGAUGGUGAACUAUGCCUGAAUAGGGUGAAGCCAGAGGAAACUCUGGUGGAGGCUCGCAGCGGUUCUGACGUGCAAAUCGAUCGUCAAAUUUGGGUAUAGGGGCGAAAGACUAAUCGAACCAU
Molecule: ribosomal RNA, 862 nt
Filed under: Ramularia vallisumbrosae
Lineage: Eukaryota; Fungi; Ascomycota; Dothideomycetes; Mycosphaerellales; Mycosphaerellaceae
Description: eukaryotic LSU rRNA
Rfam family: Eukaryotic large subunit ribosomal RNA
Source: RNAcentral